This 77-nucleotide transfer RNA is filed under the name Clostridiales bacterium. RNAcentral describes it as "tRNA-Arg". It matches the Rfam family "tRNA". From Rfam's summary of the family: Transfer RNA (tRNA) molecules are approximately 80 nucleotides in length. RNAcentral also lists the same sequence under 1 other name. Lineage: Bacteria; Bacillati; Bacillota; Clostridia; Eubacteriales. The record is from RNAcentral.
GCAAUAGUAGCUUAGCUGGAUAGAGCACUCGGCUACGAACCGAGAGGUCGGGGGUUCGAAUCCCUCCUGUUGCACCA